Molecule: ribosomal RNA, 1528 nt
Filed under: metagenome
Description: bacterial LSU rRNA
Rfam family: Bacterial large subunit ribosomal RNA
Source: RNAcentral
UCAAAAAGUUCGAGCCCGUUAAUGGGUGAGAGCGUGCCUUUUGCAGAAUGAGCCGGCGAGUUACGUUAUCAUGCGAGGUUAAGAAGAAGAUUCGGAGCCGUAGCGAAAGCGAGUCUUAAUAGGGCGUUUAGUAUGAUGAUGUAGACCCGAAACCGAGUGAUCUAUCCAUGAGCAGGUUGAAGUUGGGGUGAUACCUAAUGGAGGACCGAACCCACGUGUGUUGCAAAACGCGGGGAUGACUUGUGAUAGCGGAGAAAUUCCAAUCGAACUCGGAUAAAGCUGGUUCUCCCCGAAAUAGGUUUAGGCCUAGCCUUCUAAUUAGCUACCUGGAGGUAGAGCACUGAAUACGGAAUGGCCGCGUCUAGCGGUACUGACUGUAAUCAAACUCCGAAUGCCAGGCUAGUAUGUAGAGGAGUCAGUGUAUGGGUGAUAACGUCCAUACGCGAGAGGAAAUGAAUCCUGACCAUCGGUUAAGGUCCCAAAGUUUAUGCUAAGUGGAAAAUGAUGUGGAGUCGCAUGAACAGCUAGGAGGUUGGCUUAGAAGCAGCCAUCCUUUAAAGAGUGCGUAAUAGCUCACUAGUCGAGUGGCUCUGCGCAGAACAUGUACCGGGGCUUAAGCAUAACACCGAAACUGUGGAUGUUAGUUUUUAAUUAACAUGGUAGGGGAGCGUUCUAAGGGCGUUGAAGAUAGAUCGUGAGGACUAUUGGAGCGCUUAGAAGUGAGAAUGCCGGCGUGAGUAACGUAAGGAAGGUGAGAAUCCUUCCCACUGAUUGACUAAGGGUUCCUGGGUCAAGUUCGUCUUCCCAGGGUAAGUCAGGACCUAAGGCGAGGCCGAAAGGCGUAGUCGAUGGACAACAGGUUUAUAUUCCUGUACCACCUACAAGACUGAUGGAGUGACAAAGAAGGCUAAGCAAAGCCAAUUAUUGGAUUUUGGUCUAAGCACAAAGGUGUGUUGAGUAAGCAAAUCUAUCAACUGUAACGCUGAAGUGUGAUGGGGAAAAAGUUCUACGGAACUUCAACUUUGCUGAAGCCAUGCUUUCAAGAAAAACUUCUAGGGCUAAUCUUGUAGGUGCCUGUACUCAGAACCGACACUGGUAGUCAAGGAGAGAAUCCUAAGGUGAGCGAGAUAACUAUGGUUAAGGAACUCGGCAAAAUGACCCCGUAACUUCGGAAUAAGGGGAGGUGUAGCGAUACACCCUCAGGAAAUAGGUCCAGGCAACUGUUUACCAAAAACACAGGUCUCUGCUAAAGCGUAAGCUGAUGUAUAGGGGCUGACGCCUGCCCAGUGCUGGAAGGUUAAGAGGAGAUGUUAGUUGGACGCAAGUCGAUAACAACGAAGCUUCGAAUUGAAGCCCCAGUGAACGGCGGCCGUAACUAUAACGGUCCUAAGGUAGCGAAAUUCCUUGUCAGGUAAGUUCUGACCCGCACGAAAGGCGUAAUGAUCUGGAUACUGUCUCAACCAUAGACUCGGUGAAAUCUUAAUACCUGUGAAAAUGCAGGUUACCCGCUACAGGACAAAAAGACCCC